UAGGGCUUUCAUGCAACUGGGCACAAGAACAAAUCACACUAAGGUUUGGACUACAGCAAACAUCCCCAUUGUGAAAUUCACAUCAGAGUCCUCAUGCUGUCAACAGAAUACCAAUAUAGAUUUUUGGUAAUGCCAAUGUAAUAAUAAAUGAACCAAACUCUUAUUACAGUUAUUAUAAGAAGUGAAGAUGUUUUAUGCUUUUCUGAAAUUUGGUUUUAAUUUUAGUGUGUAUUUAUUUGUUUUGGUAACAAGCAAAUCUUACCCACUUCAUCUUUCUCAGCUCCAUCAUGGAGACGGCUGGAGAGCUCAUCCACCUGACACACAAGAGCAAACCUUUUCUGUCCUGAGACCCUCAGGUGACCACCAAGGAAGAACACUGAAUAACUGUAGAAAGGGCAAUUCUGGAAACACGAGAGAAAAUAGACAUGAAGAUCAACCAUCUGACUUCAUUGGUCCAGUCUCUAGUGGGGAACAGGCGUGUUGUACCCCAAAUGCAGAUGGCUGAAGAGGAAGAGGGUGUGUCUUUCCUCUAGCAUCUACUGCAGACCUAGAUAGGCUGGAACAAAGAUUAUCAGACAGAGGGUUUAUGCAGAGAAU
Sinocyclocheilus anshuiensis is the source of this 597-nucleotide long non-coding RNA. RefSeq lists it as uncharacterized. The record is from RefSeq and is a predicted model, not a curated record. The transcript is spliced from 3 exons. NCBI's taxonomy places the organism in Eukaryota, Metazoa, Chordata, Actinopteri, Cypriniformes, Cyprinidae.